AGCAGUAGCCGCGGGAAUACGUAGGGUGCAAGCGUUAAUCGGAAUUACUGGGCGUAAAGCGCACGUAGGCGGAUAUUUAAGUCAGGGGUGAAAUCCCAGAGCUCAACUCUGGAACUGCCUUUGAUACUGGGUAUCUUGAGUAUGGAAGAGGUGAGUGGAAUUCCGAGUGUAGAGGUGAAAUUCGUAGAUAUUCGGAGGAACACCAGUGGCGAAGGCGGCUCACUGGUCCAUUACUGACGCUGAGGUGCGAAAGCGUGGGGAGCAAACAGGAUUAGAUACCCCCGUAGUCCCUGUCUCUUAUAC
This 303-nucleotide ribosomal RNA is filed under the name uncultured bacterium. RNAcentral describes it as "partial 16S ribosomal RNA". It matches the Rfam family "Bacterial small subunit ribosomal RNA", at positions 507 to 807 of the family's 1533-position model. The record is from RNAcentral.